GUUCAUCAGCCUUCGCUCUCAGAAUAUGAUGAAUUUGGGGCGUUUACUGAAUUCUGCUACCCAUCACGGUCGCUUACGCUAUCGGCAAUUAUUCGGGAAGUUUUAAAUUAGCUGAGAAUAAAGUACGUGAAGUAUAAUUGAUUGAUCGAUCUGCAGUUUGCUGUUGACUCGAAUUAGCUACUGAGAAGGUGUUACAUUCUUUCACUGCUAGCAACACUUUGAAUUCGAAAUGGUGAGUGAUCUAUCUAAUGUGAAGUUUCCAAUUAAAAGAAUAAACAUCACCUUCAUCUGAAAUACCUGAGGACAAAGAGGAAGGGUAGCUCGUUCAGAAGAAAUAGAGGAAAUGCGAGAACCUAUUCAUGUUAGUUUUACUUUCUUACAACUGAACCGUCUGAAUUCUUUCAUCCGCCAUGGCCUUACUCUGCAACCUCUUCUGAAGCACUUUUGUAGUUCGUGAUUGCUCCAACGAUCAUUUGUCUUAAUGUUCGUUAGUUGGUUGAAACAUUUCUUGCAUCUGCGGCAAAUGUUAUCUUCCAAGUCCAAGGAGCCAUGUUUGGGAUACCAAAGCAGAAAAUUCCUCGCAUUUGAUGGUUUUUGAAUGAGAAUAUAUCGGAAAAGAAUGUUUUUUUAAAAGGACAGUAUUAAUUAUUGGGCAACUAAAGGACAGUGUUUAUAUAUUUCAUAGUAAAAUAUUAAAGAUUAUCAUAACCAAAAAUUAGUAAAACGUUAUAAUUUGUUUUGCAAGGAAUGUCAUAAUUAAAGUUUUAUCUUGAUUCUU
Long non-coding RNA from Stegodyphus dumicola, 778 nucleotides. Lineage: Eukaryota; Metazoa; Arthropoda; Arachnida; Araneae; Eresidae. The record is from RefSeq and is a predicted model, not a curated record.